This 497-nucleotide ribosomal RNA is filed under the name uncultured bacterium. Its description in RNAcentral is "partial 16S ribosomal RNA". It matches the Rfam family "Bacterial small subunit ribosomal RNA", at positions 28 to 507 of the family's 1533-position model. The record is from RNAcentral.
GACGAACGCUGGCGGCGUGCCUAAUACAUGCAAGUAGAACGCUGAAGAGAGGAGCUUGCUCUUCUUGGAUGAGUUGCGAACGGGUGAGUAACGCGUAGGUAACCUGCCUGGUAGCGGGGGAUAACUAUUGGAAACGAUAGCUAAUACCGCAUAAAAUUGAUUAUUGCAUGAUAAUUAAUUGAAAGAUGCAACUGCAUCACUACCAGAUGGACCUGCGUUGUAUUAGCUAGUUGGUGAGGUAACGGCUCACCAAGGCGACGAUACAUAGCCGACCUGAGAGGGUGAUCGGCCACACUGGGACUGAGACACGGCCCAGACUCCUACGGGAGGCAGCAGUAGGGAAUCUUCGGCAAUGGGGGGAACCCUGACCGAGCAACGCAGCGUGAGUGAAGAAGGUUUUCGGAUCGUAAAGCUCUGUUGUAAGAGAAGAACGGGUGUGAGAGUGGAAAGUUCACACUGUGACGGUAUCUUACCAGAAAGGGACGGCUAACUACGUG